RNAcentral lists this long non-coding RNA (2245 nucleotides) under Homo sapiens (human). RNAcentral's name for it is "HSALNT0187158". Lineage: Eukaryota; Metazoa; Chordata; Mammalia; Primates; Hominidae. The record is from RNAcentral.
GCCAAAUUGUGCUUAAGCUUCAAAAUGCUGCUGAAGUCCUAUAUCCCUGUAAGGCUAUUUUGACUUUAAGGAAAGGCUUGUGGAGGACCGGGCAGCCUUUUCUGGAGAGCAACCUCAGCCAAGGAGCGGAUGCCAUAAUUGCUUUCCCUUUUACCUCACCACUGGGACAGCUCUGAACACUUUAUAGAGUUUGCUCCCUCAAGCUUGCAUUCCUUACUUCUCAUAGAAGCAAAAUACUGCAUUUCUUUUGAUCUCAUAGAAAUGAAAAGGACUCUCUACGCCAUGGCUUUUGGUCUUGGUUUCUGUUUCUUUGAAUUUGGCUCCUUGGUGGGGUCCUGGGGAUACUUGCACUUCACUAUUGUUCAAGCUUUCAACUGAACUUAGAGGUGAAUUUAAAUCAAUCCCCUAACAACAAAGAGAUGUGUGUCAGGAGGGGUAGUGGUGACUCAGGGACAGAUAAAUGUAACUUCUCUAAGGUGUAAAGCCAUAUACCCUCAUUCCCUAGAGGGGAACAUAUAAAAAGCCACUAGUAGAAUGUCUUCUUCUAUCAAUUUCACCUGUUGAUCUAAUUGUAGGUAGAGAUCCAUAAGGAACUCAUUGAGGGUUAGGGAGAGAUUCGCUACUCAGAUACUGAUUAGGCAAGAAAUGUAACACCAAGUGAAGAAAUGGAGUCCAAGAAUUUUCCUAAUCCUGAAAAAAGUAGGGAGUGUGGAGAGAGGAGUUGAUUAUAUAAAACAGAAGGGCAGAUACAUUGCAAAAAAUGUUAAAUUUUACUGCCAUAUAUGUGACAUUCAAAUUAUUUAUAGCAGGGAGACCUUUAUUUCAAAACUAGCUGUCUGAUCUUGAGCAAAUUACUUAACCUGGCCAACAUAUGCUUCUCUAAUAUGAUCAAUUAGGAAUUAUCUGUACUGAACAGUGUUAUUUUGUGGAUUAAAUGGAAAUGUAAAAACUGGUUGACAUAGUAUCUGAAGCAUAAUGGACUCAGAGAAUAUUAGUUCUCUUCCUUUCCAUGAACUCAACUGUUAAAACACACAAGUGUAUAUAACAGUUCUAUCACUUUAUUUAUUUAUUUAUUUUUCAGAUGGAGUCUCACUCUGUUGCCUAGGUUGGAGUGCAGUGGCUCAAUCUUGGCUCACUGUAACAUCCACCUCCCGGGUUCAAGCAAUUCUCCUGCUUCAGCUCCCCCAAGUAGCUGGGACUACAGGCGCCUGCCACCACACCUGGCUAAUUUUUUUUUUUGUAUUUUUAGUAGAGAUGGGGUUUCACUGUGUUGGCCAGGCUGAGUCUCAAGCACCUGACCUCGUGAUCCGUCUGCCUUGGCUUCCCAAAGUGCUGGGAUUACAGGCAUGAGCCACCACACCUGGCCCUAUCACUUACUUUUGAAGUACCUAUUAAAUCCUAGGUGCUUCACAGAUUUUGCCUACAUUUCAUCAUUUAAUUUACUGUAUAAAUUAAUUCAUCUUUGUCUUAUUCUGUCAGGUUAAUGUUAUCAUUCUCUUUUUACAGAUUUAUUGAGACACAGAGAAAGCCAAGUAACUUGCUCAUAAUUUCACAGCUAGUAAAAGGUAGAAUCAAGAAUUGGAGCCAUAUACUUUGAUACAAAAGUAUUAUCACACUCUUUUCUUUUCCUAAGCCUGCUGACCAAGCUUGCACAGUUCCCUCUGGGGAAAAGAUCUAUCGACCUACUUUAGAUUUUAUCAAAGUGAAAGAGUAUUUUUUAUUCAUUCAAUGAUCAAGAUUGAUUUAUUUUUCUGAAUUACUUCAAGAAACCUUGAGAUAUCUGAUAAUCUAGAAAACAUCUGGUCAUUUCUUCUUUCAUAAGUCCUUGCAUUUCUGUUGGAGUGGAAUUACUGGAUUAUGAGGUAUGAACAUGCUCAGUUUUAGCAGAUACUGCCAGUUUUCCAAAGUGGUUAUAUGCUUCACACUUCCACCAGCAAUGAGUUCCAGUUGUUCCACAUCCUCAUCAGCAAUGUUAUUGUAAUGAAUAUACUCUCCAGUAGAAACGUUAUUGUUUUGCCUUUCACAAAGAUCUACAAUCCACCUGAAAUACAUAUUUGCAUGUACUCUGACGUAGAGAAUGUUUCAUUUUGUCCACGUGUAUCCAAUUGUCCCAGCAGUACUUAUUAAAAAGAUUAUCGUUUUUCCAUGGUUGUAUAGUGCCACCUUUGUCUUAACUCUAUAGUCCACAUAUGUAGACUCUACUUUUUUUCCCUUGGUUAUCUUUGAUUCCUUGAGAAAAUAUCAU